RNAcentral lists this non-coding RNA (174 nucleotides) under Candidatus Hungatella pullicola. RNAcentral describes it as "6S / SsrS RNA". It matches the Rfam family "6S / SsrS RNA". Rfam says of the family: E. coli 6S RNA was the first non coding RNA to be sequenced, but its function was unknown until recently. It consists of 184 nucleotides that fold into an extended hairpin structure with a large single-stranded internal bulge. Lineage: Bacteria; Bacillati; Bacillota; Clostridia; Lachnospirales; Lachnospiraceae. The record is from RNAcentral.
UUCCUGGAAUGUUCGACACUCUUACCUUUUUUGAACCUACAUUAUGACCUACGGGAUUCCAAUAUUUUCAGGUGGAUGUCAGGCCUCCGUAUUGAGUGGAAGGCAGAAGCCUGAGUGAGGUUGCCCACCUAGCACAGCUAGGCGUCAAUUAGUAAGAACCGGCAUUUCGGGUAU